Corylus avellana is the source of this 1405-nucleotide non-coding RNA. The record is from RefSeq and is a predicted model, not a curated record. NCBI's taxonomy places the organism in Eukaryota, Viridiplantae, Streptophyta, Magnoliopsida, Fagales, Betulaceae.
CUGUCUCUCUCUCUGUAAAUGCUCUGGUCUAUAAUCCAAAAUUAGGGGCAGUUUGGCAGCUCAAACCUCGUACAGGUUGAGAAGCAACAUGGGGAUUCAGGGGCUGUUGCCGCUGCUGAAAUCGAUCAUGGUGCCAAUCCAUAUCAAGGAAUUGGACGGCUGUUGUGUUGCGGUCGACACCUAUUCUUGGCUCCACAAGGGUGCAUUGUCUUGCAGCAGAGAGCUCUGCAAAGGUCUACCCACCACCAGGCACAUUGAAUAUUGCAUGCAUAGAGUGAACCUGCUACGACAUUGUGGUGUUAAACCUAUCCUUGUAUUCGAUGGAGGUCUUCUGCCAAUGAAGGGCGAACAAGAGAACAAGCGUGCCAGGACGAGGAAGGAAAAUCUUGCACGCGCUAUUGAGCACGAGUCAGGAGGAAAUUCUUCUGCUGCAUAUGAGUGCUACCAGAAAGCUGUUGAUAUUUCACCUAUGAUUGCACGUGAACUAAUCCAGGUGUUAAAACAGGAGAAUGUGUCUUAUGUUGUGGCUCCUUAUGAGGCAGAUGCCCAAAUGACCUUCUUGGCAAUCAGCAAACAAGUUGAAGCAGUUAUCACUGAGGAUUCAGAUCUUAUACCAUUUGGUUGUCCCAGAAUCAUCUAUAAAAUGGACAGGUUUGGGCAAGGAGUUCAGUUUCAAUAUUCCACGCUCCAACAAAACAAGGAUCUCAGUUUUGCAGGUUUCACUAAGCAGAUGCUUCUUGAGAUGUGUAUUUUGAGUGGAUGUGACUACUUGCAGUCAUGGCCAGGAAUAGGCCUGAAAAGGGCUCAUGCAUUAAUUAAAAAGUUCAAAAGUUACGACAAGGUGAUUAAGCACUUGAGGUACAGCACUGUUUCUGUCCCUCCAUUAUAUGAAGAAUCAUUCAAGAAAGCAACAUUCACUUUCCAGCAUCAACGGGUUUAUGAUCCUAUCAAUGAAGAACUUGUACAUCUAUCCAACAUAUCUGAUAAUGUUGGAGAUGAUUUGGACUUCCUCGGCCCAUAUCCUUUAUUUACAACUCAGCUUUUUAGUCUAAUUCUCAGAACAUUUUUUUCUCUAAUAGUUGAAAUGCUAGAAGUCAUUUCUUGACAUGGGAUACAUUGAUAUCACAACAUACAGCGAAAGGCAUAGCAGAAGGUGAUCUUGAUCCAUUUACCAAAAUGCAGUUUCAGCCUAUGUUGGAAAGAGAGAAGAGAAAAGCAUAAAGGGAAAAUUACUCAGAAUAGAAAAGGGAAGAUUUUAAGGGACAGUUUCUUAUGAACCGUAUUCACUAAGGGAGAGUUUGUUAAAAAUCAUAUUUAAGUAAGUACUUAUACAUGUGCAUUCAUAAACACAAACACAUUAUAUCUUUAAUUAAUCUAAAUCCAUACUGGUACUUCAAACUUUAUG